GGAUGCUUUUGGCGCGGUGCCUUCCGAGUUCCCUGGAACGGGACGCCUUAGAGGGUGAGAGCCCCGUACGGUUGGACACCAAGCCUCUGUAAAGCUCCUUCGACGAGUCGAGUAGUUUGGGAAUGCUGCUCUAAAUGGGAGGUAAAUUUCUUCUAAAGCUAAAUAUUGGCCAGAGACCGAUAGCGCACAAGUAGAGUGAUCGAAAGAUGAAAAGCACUUUGAAAAGAGGGUUAAAUAGCACGUGAAAUUGUUGAAAGGGAAGCGUUUGCGACCAGACCUUUUCCUAGCGGAUCAUCCGGUGUUCUUCACCGGUGCACUUCGCUAGGUUGAGGCCAGCAUCGGUUUUCGUAGGGGGAUAAAAGCCCUGGGAACGUAGCUCCUCCGGGAGUGUUAUAGCCCUCUGCAUAAUACCCUUACGGGGACCGAGGACCGCGCUUUUAGCAAGGAUGCUGGCGUAAUGGUCGUCAACGACCCGUCUUGAAACACGGACCAAGGAGUCGAACAUUUGUGCGAGUGUUUGGGUGUUAAACCCUCACGCGUAAUGAAAGUGAACGGAGGUGAGAGCCCUUACGGGUGCAUCAUCGACCGAUCCUGAUGUCUUCGGAUGGAUUUGAGUAAGAGCAUAACUGUUCGGACCCGAAAGAUGGUGAACUAUGCGUGGAUAGGGUGAAGCCAGAGGAAACUCUGGUGGAGGCUCGCAGCGGUUCUGACGUGCAAAUCGAUCGUCAAAUCUGCGCAUGGGGGCGAAAGACUUAUCGAACCAUCUAGUAGCUGGUUACCGCCGAAGUUUCCCUCAGGAUAGCAGUGUUGUUCUUCAGUUUUAUGAGGUAAAGCGAAUGAUUAGGGACUCGGGGGCGCUUUUUAGCCUUCAUCCAUUCUCAAACUUUAAAUAUGUAAGAAGCCCUUGUUACUUAAUUGAACGUGGGCAUUCGAAUGUACCAACACUAGUGGGCCAUUUUUGGUAAG
RNAcentral lists this ribosomal RNA (966 nucleotides) under Xylariaceae sp. DIS 354b. RNAcentral describes it as "LSU rRNA". It matches the Rfam family "Eukaryotic large subunit ribosomal RNA", at positions 157 to 1144 of the family's 3401-position model. Lineage: Eukaryota; Fungi; Ascomycota; Sordariomycetes; Xylariales; Xylariaceae. The record is from RNAcentral.